Molecule: long non-coding RNA, 365 nt
Filed under: Setaria viridis
Lineage: Eukaryota; Viridiplantae; Streptophyta; Magnoliopsida; Poales; Poaceae
Description: long non-coding RNA (SVIR_LNC008671)
Source: RNAcentral
AUAAAAAAUAUGAGAAUGCGAAUGCAAGAUUGCAAUACAUAAUCUUCGUAUAUCUCAAAAUUCAUAACUUCAAAAGUAAAGCCACAAGUGGAACAAGCUACUUCAGACAAAUUUCAGAUUUAUCUUGCUAGUGUGAGGUACUGAAAUUAAAUGGAGGGAAUUCAAACAAUAGAGUUAAAGCAUGUAGAUCACAUUGCUAUGUUUACUUGUCUUAAUUGAAGACCAAGAAUGUGAGUUAAGCAUGAUCCGAAGGUGCACCACCUAUUCACAAAUAUAACUCAGCACCAACACAAACACACAAUCGUAAAAAAAACAUAAUUCAAAGCGUUACUACACGCCCGAACCUAACAUUCUCACAAAAGCAC